AUACGUAGGGAGCGAGCGUUGUCCGGAUUUAUUGGGUGUAAAGGGUGCGUAGGCGGCUUUGCAAGUCAGGCGUGUAAUCCAGAGGCUUAACCUCUGAACUGCGCUUGAAACUGCUUGGCUUGAGUGGAGUAGAGGCAGAUGGAAUUUCCAGUGUAGCGGUGAAAUGCGUAGAUAUUGGAAGGAACACCAGUGGCGAAGGCGAUCUGCUGGGCUCUUACUGACGCUGAGGCACGAAAGCAUGGGGAGCAAACAGGAUUAGAUACCCUGGUAGUCCAUGCCGUAAACGUUGAUUACUAGGUGUGGGGGGACUGACCCCUUCCGUGCCGCAGUUAACACAAUAAGUAAUCCACCUGGGAAGUACGAUCGCAAGGUUGAAACUCAAAUGAAUUGACGGGG
This 396-nucleotide ribosomal RNA is filed under the name uncultured bacterium. RNAcentral's name for it is "partial 16S ribosomal RNA". It matches the Rfam family "Bacterial small subunit ribosomal RNA", at positions 523 to 918 of the family's 1533-position model. The record is from RNAcentral.